GCCCGCCAGAGGCUCGGCUCGCGCGGCGCGGCCGCUGCGACUUCCUGGAGUUCUGCCUGCCGGGGGCGCGGGCGGGCUUUGUCAGGAUCGCGGUGCGGCGACCGACGUUGGGCUCUUGCAUUGCUUUGUGCUUGGCAAUGGAAUCAUGGUUUCGGGAUAGUCAUUUUGCCUCCUGGACAGUUGGCUGACGAAGUGUCUGAUAAACCAGCUUCAGAUACAUGCUACAAAAGGCUACUGAGCUGGCCUGAUGAUGAUCCUUCUGAGAUAUAUUUAUAGCAGAUGAUUUGUGGAUGAUAACUACGCCAAGCAAGACACUGUCUCCAGUAACCCCAGGCUCGUCUGACUUCCUCAGGGGAUUAUAAUAAAGAAUCACAAAAAGAACCCUAUAUGGACAGUCUGGUCUCUGGACACUAACAACAGCACAAUCCAAAGGCAAAGAAAGGAGGAACCACCUUGUUUCAUGUCUGCAAGCUGCUCCAUAUGAAAGCAUUGCUGACAUGUUGACCCAACAGCAAAAAGAGAGCAGCAGUUUACACACCCUCAGCUCUCUGUCCUUUCCUUUCUAUUGAUGUUGGUCCACUUUUAUGACUGAAUACAUAUUAAAAUCACCAUUUCAAAUUAUAAUUAUCUGCUUUCAUUGGUCUCUUUCA
Homo sapiens (human) is the source of this 650-nucleotide long non-coding RNA. Ensembl annotates it as ADGRB3 divergent transcript. Its record names the gene ADGRB3-DT. The record is from Ensembl. NCBI's taxonomy places the organism in Eukaryota, Metazoa, Chordata, Mammalia, Primates, Hominidae.